This 120-nucleotide ribosomal RNA is filed under the name uncultured bacterium. Its description in RNAcentral is "partial 16S ribosomal RNA". It matches the Rfam family "Bacterial small subunit ribosomal RNA", at positions 29 to 161 of the family's 1533-position model. The record is from RNAcentral.
AACGAACGCUGGCGGCAGGCUUAACACAUGCAAGUCGAACGCCCCGCAAGGGGAGUGGCAGACGGGUGAGUAACGCGUGGGAAUCUACCCUUUUCUACGGAACAACUGAGGGAAACUUCA